Pelobates cultripes (western spadefoot toad) is the source of this 476-nucleotide non-coding RNA. Lineage: Eukaryota; Metazoa; Chordata; Amphibia; Anura; Pelobatidae. The record is from the annotation of a GenBank genome assembly.
UGGCUGCCUAAAAUGCAUCCAAACAUUCAGUGUCUCCUCCCUCUGCAUGCAGACACUGAACUUUCCUCAUAGAGAUUCAUUGAUUCAAUUCAUCUCUAUGCAGUGGCGGAUCCAGAGCCUGAUCUCGGGAGGGGCACUUGUAGAUUAUUUAAAGAAAUAAUCCUGACACAAUAACCACUACAGCUCAGUGUAGUGGUUAUGGUGUCAAUAGUGCCGGGACCCCCUCCUAGAGUAAGUAGUCAAACCGUUUAAGAACAGUUUGACAACUUACCUGAGGUCUGCUGGGAAAUGGGGCGGUAGUAGGGCAUAGGAGCAGUGGUGUGUGUGAGUGGUGCAAUGUGUAAGGGGUGCAGUGUGUGUGUGAGGGGGACAGUGUGUGUGAAGGUUGUAGUGUGUGAGUAGGCAGGGCAGUGUAUGUCAGGGAUGCAGUGUAUGUGUGGGACAGUAUGUGUGUGUAACAGUUGCAGUGUGUGUGU